AGACGCAAGUGCGGCUGCCGGGGACGCGGGCUACGCGUGGCUCCUGUCCUCCCGGCGCGGGUCGCGAGCUGCUCUGCGCUCCCAGCCCCCACCGUUCGGUCGCUCGCCCGGCGCCUGGCGCUGCCUCCGCCUCCACAGCCUCCCUUUUCCCAGCUCUGCGUCUGGCGCUCGGGCGGCGCAUCCGGGUAUUUAGCGGCGGCGGGCGGACCGCGGUGAGGACUGGGCUGCUGGCUGCCUGCUCCCGGCCCGGAAUGGCGCCGCGCUGCCGCCAUCUGUGUUUCUUCCGCCGAGCAAACUCGACCUUUCCCGGCGGCCCGGGCCUUCCCGCUGCCCGCCGUCUCUCGAGGUCUCUGCCCGGCUCCCUAGGCUUCCCUUCUGGGGACCCUGGCGCCCCGGCCGCCGCCCCCCGCGCCCGCCACGAGCCUCAAACGGCGCCGAGGAGCGCUGGGGCGCCGGCACAUUUCCCCUUUGCGGGGGGCUGGCUCUGCGGAGCCGGGGAGCCCCGGGGCUUGAGACCCCCCGUCGGAAAGCUCCCCCCUGGGACUACCAGGAGCCCCACUCCCGGAUGCCUGCGGGGUCCCCCAACCUGGCGGAGCGGCUCAGAAGCGGCCCCAACUAACACACGCGGCCCUGAGCUGGGCGACUCCCAGCCGGGCCGAGUCGGGACAAGGGGGGAGGGGUCGCCUCCCCAGGGUCCGGUCACCUCUCGGGGGUCACCCGACCACAGCUCCUCUGACACCCCUACCCCCUCUCUGCCUGCGAGGCCCUCAAGGAAACUUUCCCUGAAAGAGUUGGAAGGGCACUUUCAAACUUUGUCCCUUCCCCCUCUUGAGUCGCCUUCUCCCCUCGAUGCACCCCCGGACCUCGGCGAGUUGAUUGCUCUCUGAGCCCGAGCCCCCCAAAGCUUCCUGGGACCCCUGGAAGAUGCGGACAAGCCUCCCGGGCGGCCUGCUCUCCUCAAAGACCCCCCACAUCUCCCAUGUAUCUGAGUAUGAGUUCAUUUACAUGCCUGCCUUGUUAGCUAGGGAGUUUUGGGGAUGUAAGAAGCAGGACCACCACCCCCCAGGCCCACCCUAGGGGUGAAGGUCCCCUCUCCCACUGGCCUCUUCAAGGUGGGGUGUGGCUUGAUGUGUGUGCAGUCUCUAUCAUAGGUGCUGUCCAAUGGCUCUGAUCAGACAUCCUGGGGACCCUUAGGAUGCGCAGAGGCUCCUUGUGCUUUUAGAGACUUGGAAAAAUGGGGCGCAGCGGGAGAAGCCGAGGAGAGAGUUCUCCUUUCCCUGGUCGUGACUUAGGUGUAGGAGGUUUGCAGUCCACCAGGGAGCCGUGGUCCCGACCACCGCCAUUUUGCUGGGAAGAUGCCAUGUCUUUGUUAAAAUGUAUCCAUCUUUCCCGCCCUGCUUGGCAAAAAUCCACCAAGUGAGCAAGGGGCGCCACCAUCUGUAGUCCGACCUGGGGCUGUUGGGAGUCCUAGGCUCCGAGAGAGUUUAGAGGCUCCGAGAUUUGCCGAAGAGACCCCCAGAGAGCCCAGAACCUCUUGUCUGCUGCAGACAUCCUACUCACAAUGUUAGGACCUCUUGGCAGCGGCUCCGUAGGGUUCUGGUGGUAUUGCCUACCUGAGCUGGAUCCCCGGACCCUGGUGUUUUUAUUCCCUAGCAAAAAGGCACGAAAGUGUUUAAUUAAACAUUAACCUGGGAGUGGGGAAUUGUAGCUGAUCAAGAUGAACUAACCUCUGCUAAGGCCUGGGGCUGUUUGUCACACCAGAAGGAGCAGCUUAGAUGAGGGAGCUUUGAAUUUGGGGGAGAUGUGGGGAAAGGGUUACUGGGCUUGGGAGUCCCUGAGACCAGGCACACACACACACUAUAGGUUAAUCCAAAUGAUUGGAGGGGAAGGCCAGGUGCCUUCAUUACUAGCUUAUCUGGGUGAAGGGAUUGCUGUUUGAGGCCAGGUUAGUUCAAAGGUCGAGGUUUUUAACUCUGGUGCUUUCAGUGACCCUGAAGUUUCCUAAUUUGAAAACACAUUCUAGUAGGUUUGUUUGGGAUAUUUUGAAAACAGAUUCUCCUGGUUUCCACAAAGAUUUUAUGGAGAAGGUACCCAAAUGCACCUCUGAGAUACUACUGUACAAUGCCCUCCCCCGCGAAUACAAAUGAAACGGAUCAC
This 2157-nucleotide long non-coding RNA is filed under the name Mus musculus (house mouse). RNAcentral's name for it is "predicted gene, 49544". Lineage: Eukaryota; Metazoa; Chordata; Mammalia; Rodentia; Muridae. The record is from RNAcentral.